CGCGAAUUCGCCCUUCGGGGUGCAGCAGGCGCGAAAACUUUACAAUGCGGGAAACCGUGAUAAGGGAACUCCGAGUGCCCGUAAAAUCGGGCUGUCCAUCUGUUUAAAUAACAGGUGAAGAAAGGGCCGGGCAAGACCGGUGCCAGCCGCCGCGGUAAUACCGGCGGCUCGAGUGGUGGCCACUAUUACUGGGCUUAAAGCGUUCGUAGCUGGUCUGUUAAGUCUCUGGGGAAAUCUACUGGCUUAACCAAUAAACGUUUCAGGGAUACUGGCAGACUAUGGACCGGGAGAGGUGAGAGGUACUCCAGGGGUAGGAGUGAAAUCCUGUAAUCCUUGGGGGACCACCUGUGGCGAAGGCGUCUCACCAGAACGGCUCCUACAGUGAGGGACAAAAGCUGGGGGAGCAAACCGGAUUAGAUACCCGGGUAGUCCCAGCCGUAAACGAUGUGCGUUAGGUGUAUCGAUGACCACGAGUCAUCGAGGUGCCGAAGAGAAAUCGUGAAACGUACCGCCUGGGAAGUACGGUCGCAAGGCUGAAACUUAAAGGAAUUGGCGGGGGAGCAC
Molecule: ribosomal RNA, 564 nt
Filed under: uncultured archaeon
Lineage: Archaea
Description: bacterial SSU rRNA
Rfam family: Archaeal small subunit ribosomal RNA
Source: RNAcentral